CCUACGGGUCGCACCAGUAGGGAAUCUUCGGCAAUGGACGAAAGUCUGACCGAGCAACGCCGCGUGGGUGAAGAAGGUUUUCGGAUCGUAAAACUCUGUUGUCAGAGAAGAACAAGGACGUUAGUAACUGAACGUCCCUUGACGGUAUCUAACCAGAAAGCCACGGCUAACUACGUGCCAGCAGCCGCGGUAAUACGUAGGUGACAAGCGUUGUCCGGAUUUAUUGGGCGUAAAGCGAGCGCAGGCGGUUUCUUAAGUCUGAUGUGAAAGCCCCCGGCUCAACCGGGGAGGGUCAUUGGAAACUGGGAGACUUGAGUGCAGAAGAGGAGAGUGGAACUCCAUGUGUAGCGGUGAAAUGCGUAGAUAUAUGGAGGAACACCAGUGGCGAAGGCGGCUCUCUGGUCUGUAACUGACGCUGAGGCUCGAAAGCGUGGGGAGCAAACAGGAUUAGAUACCCUAGUAGUC
Molecule: ribosomal RNA, 465 nt
Filed under: uncultured bacterium
Lineage: Bacteria
Description: bacterial SSU rRNA
Rfam family: Bacterial small subunit ribosomal RNA
Source: RNAcentral